AGUCUCACUGCUCUUCGUAACACAAGUAGGGCUUCCUCUUCAGGGUUCUGAGCGUGUCUGCAUGUAGAGGUAAUGAUGCUCUAACCAGCAAGCAAACAUGAAGAGCUAGGCCAUGAAAAGGUAGAAAAGGACACCAGCAUCAGAAGAGUCGUCUUGGUUCUCAACAAUGUCAAGAACCUUUCCGUGUCCGCUCUGAGUUCUCUAACAUGAGGCAUGUGGUGUUCAAAGUCGGCAUCUUGAUGGACAACAGUGAGAAGCCUGUGAUGUUGGAAGUGAGUCAACACCCAUGAGACUGGUCUAGAGGAUCUGCGCCAUGAAGUGAUGCCCACAGCCUCUCCAGCCCUCAUAAGACCUUGGCUGGACUCUUCCUGUAGCCAAGCGGCCUCUGUAAUCAAAGCUUUACCCUAGGCUUGGGCUUGCUCAUGCAACAGUGCACCAUGUUUGUGCAGGAGUCGGCAGAACUCCGAAGAAGCCGUGGAUCCCAGGGAACUGAAGUUCAAAUGGCCAUGACCAUGGGGGUGCUGGGAACUGAAUCCAGCCAGGUCCUCUGCAAGAGCAGUAGACACUCUAACCAAUCCCAGAGACUGAUGUCUGCUCCUGCCGCUGACCUCCUUUCUCUCUGAGCAUACAGGCCUCUAAUAACACCAUCAACCCAAGUGGGUGCCUCCUGGGGGACAGGAGACCGGAACAGUACACCCUUUUAAGGAGCUGGGUUAGCCAUUCCAUACAAGGGUUAAGAGGACUUCAGCUAAAGCCUGUUUGAACUUGGAAACCCUCUCUUGAAAUCCCAACGGAAAGGUGUUUCCAUUUUCACAGUGAACUUUGCUCUACACAUUCUCACUCUGAGAGUUAAAAGAAGAGGUUAAAAGAUAGCUCAGUCUGUAAACUGAAUGCAUGAAGCUUGAUCCUCAGAACCUACUCAAAAUUACAAAAUUAAACAGCU
Molecule: long non-coding RNA, 943 nt
Organism: Mus musculus (house mouse)
Lineage: Eukaryota; Metazoa; Chordata; Mammalia; Rodentia; Muridae
Product: predicted gene 4668
Exons: 4
Source: RefSeq, marked validated